CGCCUGCGCACCGGAAGCUCCGGACACAAGCAUGGCGCCGCCUGCCGGGUGGGCCCUGUGCGGGGCCCUGUGCGCAUCUUUACCUUAGGCACCACCUCAGCUCCAACUCCUUCACUUUCUUCUUUUCUAAAACGAAAUAAGUUGAUUUUAAAGUUUAUGUUGAAGAACAGAUGAAGAAAAAUCACCAGGCAAACACUGCCCUAGAAAGAUGUCAGAGUGAAAUAGUUCAGCGUGAUUACACCCAGAGCCAUCUUUGUCAUUCUCUCCCUGCACGGACUGAGUGUUAACUAGGAGGCAGCCCAGGAGUAUGAAUGGCCUUCGUGACGGGUUAAGCGCACCUGGAAUGGUUGCCUGGUGUCUUCCUUUGCACGUGCUUACACACAUGGAAUGUGAGCCUGUGCCUUGCGCAUGCCCAGCAUGUGACACACCGCGGGCCCCAGUGUCCCCUGACGAAGCACACAACUCACACUGCUCGUCUGUGCUGAUCUCAGGUCCCACACAGCACGGUGUCUGUUGCAGGAGCCUCUCGCCCUUCUCUGUCGAGAGGCCUCUGCUCAGCCCGCUGUCUGUCGUCUCCCGGGCCUGGCCGGCCACUGCGGAAGGACACUCACUCUCUUCACAGCUGUGUCGGUCGAUUUCAGCAUUUGGUCUUCUCCCUGUGCCACUGUUUCCCCUGCUUUCUGACUAGGGGUCAUUUCCCCCGAAUUUCCGGUAUUUCCAUCUUGUAUAUUCUCUGCAAAGAGUUCGACUUGGAUGCCAUAAGCUUCCUAAGGGUCUUGUUAAAUCUUCUCACACAGGUGCAUCUCUGGCAUUUAACCUUGUCAUGUGGAGUCUGAAUUCCAUGUAAUCAAUAAAGACUAAGUAGUAAAUAGCUCCGAA
Molecule: long non-coding RNA, 879 nt
Organism: Fukomys damarensis (Damara mole-rat)
Lineage: Eukaryota; Metazoa; Chordata; Mammalia; Rodentia; Bathyergidae
Source: Ensembl